UUAGCGGAAGUUUUCGGAUGGAAGCGGAUAUGACUUAGCGGCGGACGGGUGAGUAACGCGUGGAUAACCUGCCUCAUACAGGGGGAUAACAGUUAGAAAUGACUGCUAAUACCGCAUAAGCGCACAGGACCGCAUGGUCCGGUGUGAAAAACUCUGGUGGUAUGGGAUGGAUCCGCGUCUGAUUAGCUGGUUGGUGAGGUAACGGCCCACCAAGGCGACGAUCAGUAGCCGACCUGAGAGGGUGGCCGGCCACAUUGGGACUGAGACACGGCCCAAACUCCUACGGGAGGCAGCAGUGGGGAAUAUUGCACAAUGGGGGAAACCCUGAUGCAGCAACGCCGCGUGAGUGAAGAAGUAUUUCGGUAUGUAAAGCUCUAUCAGCAGGGAAGAAGAAAGACGGUACCUGACUAAGAAGCCCCGGCUAACUACGUGCCAGCAGCCGCGGUAAUACGUAGGGGGCAAGCGUUAUCCGGAUUUACUGGGUGUAAAGGGAGCGUAGACGGCUGUGCAAGUCUGAAGUGAAAGCCCGUGGCUCAACCGCGGAACUGCUUUGGAAACUGUAUAGCUUGAGUACUGGAGAGGCAGGCGGAAUUCCUAGUGUAGCGGUGAAAUGCGUAGAUAUUAGGAGGAACACCAGUGGCGAAGGCGGCCUGCUGGACAGAAACUGACGUUGAGGCUCGAAAGCGUGGGGAGCAAACAGGAUUAGAUACCCUGGUAGUCCACGCGGUAAACGAUGAAUGCUAGGUGUUGGGGAGCAAAGCUCUUCGGUGCCGUCGCNAACGCAGUAAGCAUUCCACCUGG
Molecule: ribosomal RNA, 801 nt
Filed under: uncultured bacterium
Lineage: Bacteria
Description: bacterial SSU rRNA
Rfam family: Bacterial small subunit ribosomal RNA
Source: RNAcentral